Molecule: transfer RNA, 73 nt
Filed under: Aquificota bacterium
Lineage: Bacteria; Pseudomonadati; Aquificota
Description: Aquificae bacterium (hydrothermal vent metagenome) tRNA-Thr
Rfam family: tRNA
About the family: Transfer RNA (tRNA) molecules are approximately 80 nucleotides in length. Their secondary structure includes four short double-helical elements and three loops (D, anti-codon, and T loops). Further hydrogen bonds mediate the characteristic L-shaped molecular structure. tRNAs have two regions of fundamental functional importance: the anti-codon, which is responsible for specific mRNA codon recognition, and the 3' end, to which the tRNAs corresponding amino acid is attached (by aminoacyl-tRNA synthetases). tRNAs cope with the degeneracy of the genetic code in two manners: having more than one tRNA (with a specific anti-codon) for a particular amino acid; and 'wobble' base-pairing, i.e. permitting non-standard base-pairing at the 3rd anti-codon position.
Source: RNAcentral
GCCCACGUAGCUCAGUCGGCAGAGCACACCCUUGGUAAGGGUGAGGUCGGGGGUUCAAGUCCCCUCGUGGGCU